Molecule: ribosomal RNA, 201 nt
Filed under: uncultured bacterium
Lineage: Bacteria
Description: partial 16S ribosomal RNA
Rfam family: Bacterial small subunit ribosomal RNA
Source: RNAcentral
UACGUAGGGUGCAAGCGUUGUCCGGAAUUAUUGGGCGUAAAGAGCUCGUAGGCGGUCUGUCGCGUCGAAUGUGAAAACCCGGGGCUCAACCCCGGGCCUGCAUUCGAUACGGGCAGACUAGAGUUCGGUAGGGGAGUCUGGAAUUCCUGGUGUAGCGGUGAAAUGCGCAGAUAUCAGGAGGAACACCGGUGGCGAAGGCGG